This 74-nucleotide transfer RNA is filed under the name Aedes aegypti (yellow fever mosquito). It matches the Rfam family "tRNA". From Rfam's summary of the family: Transfer RNA (tRNA) molecules are approximately 80 nucleotides in length. Their secondary structure includes four short double-helical elements and three loops (D, anti-codon, and T loops). The record is from Rfam by way of RNAcentral. Lineage: Eukaryota; Metazoa; Arthropoda; Insecta; Diptera; Culicidae.
UGUUCUGUAGCUUAGUUGGUUAAAGCGCCGGUCUAGCGUACACGGAGUCGUGAGUUCGAGUCUUACUAGAACGC